Molecule: ribosomal RNA, 477 nt
Filed under: Klebsiella oxytoca
Lineage: Bacteria; Pseudomonadati; Pseudomonadota; Gammaproteobacteria; Enterobacterales; Enterobacteriaceae
Description: bacterial SSU rRNA
Rfam family: Bacterial small subunit ribosomal RNA
Source: RNAcentral
UUUUAGAGUUUGAUCCUGGCUCAGAUUGAACGCUGGCGGCAGGCCUAACACAUGCAAGUCGAACGGUAGCACAGAGAGCUUGCUCUCGGGUGACGAGUGGCGGACGGGUGAGUAAUGUCUGGGAAACUGCCUGAUGGAGGGGGAUAACUACUGGAAACGGUAGCUAAUACCGCAUAACGUCGCAAGACCAAAGAGGGGGACCUUCGGGCCUCUUGCCAUCAGAUGUGCCCAGAUGGGAUUAGCUAGUAGGUGGGGUAACGGCUCACCUAGGCGACGAUCCCUAGCUGGUCUGAGAGGAUGACCAGCCACACUGGAACUGAGACACGGUCCAGACUCCUACGGGAGGCAGCAGUGGGGAAUAUUGCACAAUGGGCGCAAGCCUGAUGCAGCCAUGCCGCGUGUAUGAAGAAGGCCUUCGGGUUGUAAAGUACUUUCAGCGGGGAGGAAGGGAGUAAGGUUAAUAACCUUAUUCAUGUC